This 642-nucleotide ribosomal RNA is filed under the name Listeria monocytogenes. Its description in RNAcentral is "partial 23S ribosomal RNA". It matches the Rfam family "Bacterial large subunit ribosomal RNA", at positions 415 to 1057 of the family's 2925-position model. The record is from RNAcentral. Lineage: Bacteria; Bacillati; Bacillota; Bacilli; Caryophanales; Listeriaceae.
CGGCGGAACACGUGAAAUUCCGUCGGAAUCCGGGAGGACCAUCUCCCAAGGCUAAAUACUCCCUAGUGACCGAUAGUGAACCAGUACCGUGAGGGAAAGGUGAAAAGCACCCCGGAAGGGGAGUGAAACAGUUCCUGAAACCGUGUGCCUACAAGUAGUUAGAGCCCGUUAAUGGGUGAUAGCGUGCCUUUUGUAGAAUGAACCGGCGAGUUACGAUUUGUUGCAAGGUUAAGCGGAAAAAGCGGAGCCGUAGCGAAAGCGAGUCUGAAUAGGGCGCAUAAGUAACAGGUCGUAGACCCGAAACCAGGUGAUCUACCCAUGUCCAGGAUGAAGGUAAGGUAAUACUUACUGGAGGUCCGAACCCACGCACGUUGAAAAGUGCGGGGAUGAGGUGUGGGUAGCGGAGAAAUUCCAAUCGAACUUGGAGAUAGCUGGUUCUCUCCGAAAUAGCUUUAGGGCUAGCCUCGAGGUAAAGAGUCAUGGAGGUAGAGCACUGUUUGGACUAGGGGCCCUUCUCGGGUUACCGAAUUCAGAUAAACUCCGAAUGCCAUGUACUUAUACUCGGGAGUCAGACUGCGAGUGAUAAGAUCCGUAGUCGAAAGGGAAACAGCCCAGACCACCAGUUAAGGUCCCCAAAUAUAU